AUGCUGAGCGCUUCUCCUUGUACUCUUGGUUCCCUCAGAGCAUGCCAGCAGACUGAGAGGAGCCAUUCAGCCUCACAGCUGCCCAGGUCACCAGCAUUUUACUGCUGUCAACACAGCUAUGGCCACGUGGUGCAAUUCAGGGCUCUGCAGAGCUAUGUCAGCAGCUCGGAGCUGGCAACAUCAGAAGCCCAUACACAGAGACACUUUGUCUGGAGCAUAGGAGCUCCAGAAGAGUUCUUCCAACCUUACUUACUUCUCAGCCUGCAAAGAAAUAAAGACCUUGAUUGAUGAUCGCAGGCAGAUGUGGUGAAAGCAUCCCAAUCAGAGGCACAACACUACUGCCUGAGUAAUGGCUUUCCCACCCCCGUGGGAGGCAAUGCUGAGCUUGCUGUUCUGGUGGGCAAAAUCCUACACCAUCAGAUGUGCACAAACAGCUGAAAGCACACGUUACAGGCCAAGAAAAAAGCAAAUAGAUAAAAUCCCUCCCUAGCGUUGUCUGUACUCCUGUUAACAUCCCGGAGUAAGUGUUAGGCUGUUGCAGUCAUUUGUUUUAAGAUUGUGCUUGGCUUGACAAGGAGUCUAGACAGAAGAGUGCUCCAUUCAUCUGACAAAUCCCUAUUGCUCUUCUCCGCACUGAGUGAAUCUUGGAGGAGUCAGUGUCUUGAAGGCAAAGCUUAGCCCUGCAGGAAGGCCAGACGAAGACUGCAGGGCAACCAAGGAAAGGUCCUGGCUGACUGUGACAGAUAUCUAGAAGCAGGGAGGAAGGUGCCAUCUUUCUCUGGAGCAGAGCAGAGACCUUUCAGUGAGCCAUGACCACAAAUCCUGUUUCCUAAUUGAGAGGAGAAGGACCAGCGGAUAAGCUGUCAAGGCCAGUGUAAAUGAAGAAGGAUUGCUUUUUCGGGCAAUAGAUCAGAAGUUAGGACGUUGCUUUAUGCAGAUCUUUGCCCUUACAUGUAUCUCUGUGCAAAAGGAGUCCUGCCUGAGUCUGGACUCCAGUGGGAUCCAAGCUGGGCCUCUGAUGCUUGCACAAAUCAGCAGCAACUGGAAGCAGCUAAAUUUUAUGAACAUAUAUUCCAAGAUGCUGUAAUUCUCACAUCCCAGCUGUUCUUUGCCAUCCAAAGGCACCCUUCUAGUGCAUCCUCUUUGGCACACGCAGCCCUGAAGCAGUCACUGCGUGCCUGCUUCCUUGUAAUGCCAUCCACUUCAAUAGCCCCAGAUAGCUUCUGAGCCAGCACAGACUCUUUUGGGGGUCACCAAGGACUCUGGACCCACGUUUGUCAUGCACGAU
This 1288-nucleotide long non-coding RNA is filed under the name Numida meleagris (helmeted guineafowl). RNAcentral describes it as "lncRNA (ENSNMEG00000023071.1)". Lineage: Eukaryota; Metazoa; Chordata; Aves; Galliformes; Numididae. The record is from RNAcentral.